Coregonus clupeaformis (lake whitefish) is the source of this 1937-nucleotide long non-coding RNA. RefSeq lists it as uncharacterized. Lineage: Eukaryota; Metazoa; Chordata; Actinopteri; Salmoniformes; Salmonidae. The transcript has 3 exons. The record is from RefSeq and is a predicted model, not a curated record.
GCUACUAUAGGCUAGCGUCUCUGUGAGCUGCAGAACAUCUCUGCUACUAUAGGCUAGCGUCUCUGUGAGCUGCAGAACAUCUCUGCUACUAUAGGCUAGCGUCUCUGUGAGCUGCAGAACAUCUCUGCUACUAUAGGCUAGUGUCUCUGAGCUGCAGAACAUCUCUGCUACUAUAGGCUAGCGUCUCUGAGCUGCAGAACAUCUCUGCUACUAUAGGCUAGCGUCUCUGAGCUGCAGAACAUCUCUGCUACUAUAGGCUAGCGUCUCUGAGCUGCAGAACAUCUCUGCUACUAUAGGCUAGCGUCUCUGAGCUGCAGAACAUCUCUGCUACUAUAGGCUAGCGUCUCUGUGAGCUGCAGAACAUCUCUGCUACUAUAGGCUAGCGUCUCUGAGCUGCAGAACAUCUCUGCUACUAUAGGCUAGCGUCUCUGAGCUGCAGAACAUCUCUGCUACUAUAGGCUAGUGUCUCUGUGAGCUGCAGAACAUCUCUGCUACUAUAGGCUAGCGUCUCUGUGAGCUGCAGAACAUCUCUGCUACUAUAGGCUAGCGUCUCUGUGAGCUGCAGAACAUCUCUGCUACUAUAGGCUAGCGUCUCUGAGCUGCAGAACAUCUCUGCUACUAUAGGCUAGCGUCUCUGUGAGCUGCAGAACAUCUCUGCUACUAUAGGCUAGCGUCUCUGAGCUGCAGAACAUCUCUGCUACUAUAGGCUAGCGUCUCUGAGCUGCAGAACAUCUCUGCUACUAUAGGCUAGUGUCUCUCUGAGCUGCAGAACAUCUCUGCUACUAUAGGGUAGCGUCUCUGUGAGCUGCAGAACAUCUCUGCUACUAUAGGAGUUAUCGACACACAGACAUGUCUCAACACACAGACGGGAGGACGUGUCUCAACACACAGACGGGAGGACGUGUCUCAACACACAGACGGGAGGACGUGUCUCAACACACAGACGGGAGGACAGGAGGACAUGUCUCAACACAUGACCUAAACAACAAAUAAAACAAAGGGCGGAUGAGUGAAAAUGUUGACAGGUGAUAUGUUACUGUAAUAUGUUGACGGGUGAUAGGUUACUGUAAUAUGUUGACGGGUGAUAGGUUACUGUAAUAUGUUGACGGGUGAUAUGUUACUGUAUUAUGUUGACAGAUGAUAUGUUACUGUAAUAUGUUGACAGGUGAUAGGUUACUGUAAUAUGUUGACAGGUUACUGUAAUAUGUUGACGGGUGAUAUGUUACUGUAAUAUGUUGACGGGUGAUAUGUUACUGCAAUAUGUUGACGGGUGAUAUGUUACUGUAUUAUGUUGACAGAUGAUAUGUUACUGUAAUAUGUUGACAGGUGAUAGGUUACUGUAAUAUGUUGACAGGUGAUAUGUUACUGUAAUAUGUUGACGGUGAUAUGUUACUGUAAUAUGUUGACGGGUGAUAUGUUACUGUAAUAUGUUGACGGGUGAUAUGUUACUGUAAUAUGUUGACGGGUGAUAUGUUACUGUAAUAUGUUGACGGGUGAUAUGUUACUGUAAUAUGUUGACGGGUGAUAUGUUACUGUAAUAUGUUGACGGGUGAUAGGUUACUGUAAUAUGUUGACGGGUGAUAUGUUACUGUAAUAUGUUGACGGGUGAUAUGUUACUGUAAUAUGUUGACGGGUGAUAUGUUACUGUAAUAUGUUGACGGGUGAUAUGUUACUGUAAUAUGUUGACGGGUGAUAUGUUACUGUAAUAUGUUGACGGGUGAUAUGUUACUGUAAUAUGUUGACGGGUGAUAUGUUACUGUAAUAUGUUGACGGGUGAUAGGUUACUGUCAUAUGCUGAUAUUAGUUACUGCAUAUAGGCUAGUAUGUACACAUUCCUUCCAAAGCUAAACACCUUCUGCAGACUACCAUAAUAUAUAGGCCUACUAAAAACAGCCCUGUACCGUAUUUAAUGCAUAUUUACCAUGGAGGGGGAAGGG